This is a long non-coding RNA of Myodes glareolus (Bank vole), 174 nucleotides long. RefSeq lists it as uncharacterized. Lineage: Eukaryota; Metazoa; Chordata; Mammalia; Rodentia; Cricetidae. The record is from RefSeq and is a predicted model, not a curated record.
UCUCGCGAUAACGAAGCGCCCUGGGCAGAAGUCGGGAGGUCGGGUCUCCUGGCUGGCGAGGCGCAUUGGCGAUAAAUUCCAUACCACUUUCAUAUAGCACCAGGAAGGCUGAAACCAAAAUUCAAGUUCAAGGUCAGCUUGGACAACUAAGUGAACCGUCUUUAAAACGAACAA